RNAcentral lists this ribosomal RNA (304 nucleotides) under uncultured bacterium. RNAcentral's name for it is "partial 16S ribosomal RNA". It matches the Rfam family "Bacterial small subunit ribosomal RNA", at positions 509 to 807 of the family's 1533-position model. The record is from RNAcentral.
CAGCAGCCGCCACGGGAAUACGGAGGGGGCUAGCGUUGUUCGGAAUUACUGGGCGUAAAGCGCACGUAGGCGGCUUGGUAAGUUAGAGGUGAAAGCCUGGAGCUCAACUCCAGAAUUGCCUUUAAGACUGCCGAGCUAGCAGGUGAGAGAGGUAAGUGGAAUUCCGAGUGUAGAGGUGAAAUUCGUAGAUAUUCGGAAGAACACCAGUGGCGAAGGCGGCUUACUGGCUCAUACUGGACGCUGAGGUGCGAAAGCGUGGGGAGCAAACAGGAUUAGAUACCCCCGUAGUCCCUGUCUCUUAUAC